Molecule: transfer RNA, 81 nt
Filed under: Albidovulum aquaemixtae
Lineage: Bacteria; Pseudomonadati; Pseudomonadota; Alphaproteobacteria; Rhodobacterales; Paracoccaceae
Description: Defluviimonas aquaemixtae tRNA-Gly
Source: RNAcentral
AACCGUGCGGCCGGCGGCAGAAGGUGCGCCGCUUCCGGCAGCGCGAUUUCCAUUGUCGCGAUCGUAUCGGGGUUCAGUUCC